AUGCAUGCUUUUGCGUUUGGCUCUCAGAACCUGCUCGAGCGGAUGAAGAUGGAUGAGGUGUAUGCGUUUGCGUGUGUGUAUGGAGCUGAAUGUAUAAUGUUUCAGGGGGGGCUUUUGCCGGCAACGUUUUCCGCUCGUACUCGUACUCCUCCAAUCCCAACCUCAGCCAUUCACAUCUGGUUGCUAGGCAACAGAUGCAGCUCCGUUGCUUUUCUGUGGGUUCGUGAGCAAGCGUCUGGGAGGACAAAGCUUCUCUGUGGUCUGCCUGCUGAUGUUAGCAUCAGAGCAGUCGUUACAGCUCUCUGGAAGCCGCCGAAGAACUGCAUCCUGGUGAAGAUCAGGAGGAAAAUAUCUUUCCCAGAACCAGUUUCUCAGCUGAAGCCGACAUCAGCCAGGUACGUUCAAUUAAAAGCACAUUUCAACCCACACACUCACUCGUAAUGUAAAGGUCAUUUCACAACCUGGUGUCCACCCUGAGGGUAUCAUCCCCGGUUUCCUACUUCAUUUCCAUUUGACCCAGCUACAAAUGCCCAUUCUCCACGUCUUCUCCUACACAGAAAUAUUGGCCAUCAAUGGCUGAGUGCUCCAAUAAUGAGAUUUUCUGAGCCAGAGGGUGAAGGAGAAUAACGUUUUCUUUAAUUAACGAAGAUCAGAGAAUGAAUGAGAGUUUAAAAUAUCAUUCAUGGGUUGGGAAAAAAUCUAAUUACAAUACACACGGCUAAAUUGGCCUUUCAGUGAAUUGAUAUCGUGGGGGUUUGGUGCUGUAUUGCCGAUAUCAGUCUUUGUUCCGUUCAGGAAUUCUGCUCACAUCACGGCUCGCUCAAGCAUACACACAGAGACAUAAGCCCCUUAUAUUUAUCGCUAACAAGAAGCACAGGACGCCAGGCGUAUUGGGCAUUAGGCCGAUUCUGUCGCUCGGUCGUACAAGGGCAAGGCGUCAGUUAACACCAAAAUAGCAAAGCAGUCAUUAGGCGGGAGGUGGAGGCAGGCAAAUCUGUGCUGUUCUCACAGGCUUUUAUGGAAGGCACUGGGAAAAAUAGUUUUUAUAAUGAGAAUAAGGAAUUAUGGAGGGGGCUUGCGCUCCAAAUCACAUGAGCUGUUCCACAGUGCCCCCUUCUGGUCUGUAAGGGAACAUCAUCCACAGAUGAAGCCUCUGGUUAACAGGGGUUUUGUGAUGGCAGAAAAAAAUUAUAUUUGCAGCAAUGAGCCAGAAGUGUUCAUUUUUCUUAGAUAUUUGGCAUUAGAAUCUGAGUGGUUGGAUUUUGUGAGGUUUUUCUCAGAGAUACUUUGAUAAAAAAAAAAAAGUUUGGGAAAAAGCUUAUGUGCAUUUUUGCUUAAUACUUAGGCUCUAUGUCAGUGUUUUUGACUAAUGAAUAUUGUCCAAGACCAUAUUCAGUUCAAGUGAUAUUCAUUU
RNAcentral lists this long non-coding RNA (1414 nucleotides) under Carassius auratus (goldfish). RNAcentral's name for it is "lncRNA (ENSCARG00000066957.1)". Lineage: Eukaryota; Metazoa; Chordata; Actinopteri; Cypriniformes; Cyprinidae. The record is from RNAcentral.